Long non-coding RNA from Zeugodacus cucurbitae (melon fly), 165 nucleotides. RefSeq lists it as uncharacterized. The record is from RefSeq and is a predicted model, not a curated record. The transcript is spliced from 2 exons. Lineage: Eukaryota; Metazoa; Arthropoda; Insecta; Diptera; Tephritidae.
GUGGGCUUGACCGAGCUUGCAUUCAGCUGGUGACUUAUCAUCCGGUUAGUCGUUAAUUUAAAAGGACACAAGUAGCAAUCUAUAAUUGUAGUAAGUUGUCUUCUGCGUACUAAUUAUUACUGCUGGUAAAAUACUAUUAAAAUGACGUUAGGCACUUGCGCCAAA